GCCAGACUCCUACGGGAGGCAGCAGUGAGGAAUAUUGGUCAAUGGCCGGGAGGCUGAACCAGCCAAGUCGCGUGAGGGAAGACGGCCCUACGGGUUGUAAACCUCUUUUGUCAGGGAGCAAGGUGCAGGUCGGGACCUGCUGUGAGAGUACCUGAAGAAAAAGCAUCGGCUAACUCCGUGCCAGCAGCCGCGGUAAUACGGAGGAUGCGAGCGUUAUCCGGAUUUAUUGGGUUUAAAGGGUGCGCAGGCGGAGCCACAAGUCAGCGGUAAAAUCGCGGGGCUCAACCCCGCUCCGCCGUUGAAACUGGCAGUCUCGAGUUGGAGAGAAGUAUGCGGAAUGCGCGGUGUAGCGGUGAAAUGCAUAGAUAUCGCGCAGAACUCCGAUUGCGAAGGCAGCAUGCCGGCGCCACACUGACGCUGAGGCACGAAAGCGUGGGUAUCGAACAGGAUUAGAUACCCCCGUAAA
Molecule: ribosomal RNA, 466 nt
Filed under: uncultured bacterium
Lineage: Bacteria
Description: bacterial SSU rRNA
Rfam family: Bacterial small subunit ribosomal RNA
Source: RNAcentral